AGUCGUAACAAGGUUUCCGUAGGUGAACCUGCGGAAGGAUCAUUAGCAAAUCGAAAUCACUGUGCGCCGCCGCCAGGCGGUGCACAUCUGUUCCGGGGAGAAAGUCUGUCCGACUCUCUCUCUGUGUUCAAUGUGCUCAGAUGAAAUAUUCUGUGUCCAAGUGCUCCACGGAAAUGUAAAUCACAACCACCAAAACAAAAACAUACAACAACUUUCAACAAUGGAUCUCUUGGCUCUG
Molecule: unclassified non-coding RNA, 238 nt
Filed under: fungal sp.
Lineage: Eukaryota; Fungi
Description: partial internal transcribed spacer region
Rfam family: Eukaryotic small subunit ribosomal RNA (bases 1-45)
Source: RNAcentral